UGUCUGAGGCUGUGGAGCAGCGGGGAAGCAGACGCACACACUCACUCAGUAUGGGAGCAGAGGCAGCCACCGACCAGCUUAAGGACAGCGGGGCUAAAAGGUGAAAGCCACGCUCGGCUGAACUUCAGGCCUGAUCAAAAGGAAUGCGACCUGGGCUUGGGGAGGCAGCAGAGCUUAUCAGCCCAGCAGCGAGGCUUUGGAGGAGAAGAUCCUCGGCACCAGAGAUCUCCAGGUUUCAGAGGCGUGUGUAGCCAGCUGCGGAGUUCUUCUGGAUGCUCAUUGGAAGUGAGCGUUGAGCGCUCAGGACAAUUAUGGAAUCAUUACCACCACCAUGCCCGAGGCAAAAUAUGAACACCGUGCCAUUUGUCAACCAACCACGGCAUCGUAAUCAAGGACACAAGUGUUUGUGUGUCGGUGUGUUGGUGUGUGCGUGGGCGAGUGCUUGCGCAAAUCUAUGGCAUGUUGGCAGAGGAGAUGAAAUGUCACUCAGUUUGUGUGUGUGCGCAUGUCCGCAGGGGGGUAAUGGAUGAGUCAAGUGCCCUGCCCUAUAUUUUGUGUCUGUAUAUUUGUUCAAAUGUGUGGCCGUGUCCAAAUAGACAACGUCACAUGUACUAAUGUGUGCGCAUGUGCGUGUGGGUGCAUCGGCGGAGGGUGAGGAAUGGCCUGCCCGAGCGGCAACUGUCUAAACAUGUCCCCAUCAGCUGUCUGCCCGCUCCCUCCAUGAAGAAAUAACUUCAAAUGA
Scophthalmus maximus (turbot) is the source of this 742-nucleotide long non-coding RNA. RefSeq lists it as uncharacterized. The record is from RefSeq and is a predicted model, not a curated record. Lineage: Eukaryota; Metazoa; Chordata; Actinopteri; Pleuronectiformes; Scophthalmidae. The transcript is spliced from 3 exons.